AACGAACGCUGGCGGCAGGCUUAACACAUGCAAGUCGAACGGGUUGUAGCAAUACAGCAGUGGCAGACGGGUGAGUAACACGUGGGAACCUUCCUAGGGGUACGGAACAACUCAGGGAAACUUGAGCUAAUACCGUAUACGUCCGUGAGGAGAAAGAUUUAUCGCCCUUAGACGGGCCCGCGUCGGAUUAGCUAGUUGGUGGGGUAACGGCCUACCAAGGCGACGAUCCGUAGCUGAUCUUAGAGGAUGAUCAGCCACACUGGGACUGAGACACGGCCCAGACUCCUACGGGAGGCAGCAGUGGGGAAUCUUGGACAAUGGGCGCAAGCCUGAUCCAGCCAUGCCGCGUGAGUGAAGAAGGUCUUCGGAUUGUAAAGCUCUUUUACCAGGGACGAUAAUGACGGUACCUGGAGAAUAAGCCCCGGCAAACUUCGUG
RNAcentral lists this ribosomal RNA (436 nucleotides) under uncultured bacterium. RNAcentral describes it as "bacterial SSU rRNA". It matches the Rfam family "Bacterial small subunit ribosomal RNA", at positions 29 to 507 of the family's 1533-position model. The record is from RNAcentral.